CUGGGAAGUACGCUCGCAAGAGUGAAACUCAAAGGAAUUGCCGGGGACCCGCACAAGUAGCGGAGCAUGUGGUUUAAUUCGAAGCAACGCGAAGAGCCUUACCUAAGCUUGACAUCCCAAUGACAGCUCCUUAAUCGGAGAGUUCCCUUCGGGGACAUUGGUGACAGGUGGGGCAUGGUUGUCGUCAGCUCGUGUCGUGAGAUGUUGGGUUAAGUCCCGCAACGAGCGCAACCCUUGUCUUUAGUUGCCAUCAUUAAGUUGGGCACUCUAGAGAGACUGCCAGGGAUAACCUGGAGGAAGGUGGGGAUGACGUCAAAUCAUCAUGCC
Molecule: ribosomal RNA, 327 nt
Filed under: Clostridioides difficile
Lineage: Bacteria; Bacillati; Bacillota; Clostridia; Peptostreptococcales; Peptostreptococcaceae
Description: bacterial SSU rRNA
Rfam family: Bacterial small subunit ribosomal RNA
Source: RNAcentral